RNAcentral lists this ribosomal RNA (153 nucleotides) under Asterias forbesi (Forbes's starfish). RNAcentral describes it as "partial 16S ribosomal RNA". It matches the Rfam family "Bacterial large subunit ribosomal RNA", at positions 2567 to 2765 of the family's 2925-position model. The record is from RNAcentral. Lineage: Eukaryota; Metazoa; Echinodermata; Asteroidea; Forcipulatida; Asteriidae.
GAGGGUUGGUCUGUUCGACCAUUAAAAUCUUACGUGAUCUGAGUUCAGACCGGCGUAAGCCAGGUCAGUUUCUAUCCACGAAAGUUGUACUUUUCUUAGUACGAAAGGACCAGAAAAGUAGUGCCAAUUUUUAAAAAAAAGCACUAAAAAAAU